GAAGCGGCAAAAGCUCAAAUUUGAAAUCUGGUACCUUCGGUGCCCGAGUUGUAAUUUGGAGAGGGCAACUUUGGGGCCGUUCCUUGUCUAUGUUCCUUGGAACAGGACGUCAUAGAGGGUGAGAAUCCCGUGUGGCGAGGAGUGCGGUUCUUUGUAAAGUGCCUUCGAAGAGUCGAGUUGUUUGGGAAUGCAGCUCUAAGUGGGUGGUAAAUUCCAUCUAAAGCUAAAUAUUGGCGAGAGACCGAUAGCGAACAAGUACAGUGAUGGAAAGAUGAAAAGAACUUUGAAAAGAGAGUGAAAAAGUACGUGAAAUUGUUGAAAGGGAAGGGCAUUUGAUCAGACAUGGUGUUUUGUGCCCUCUGCUCCUUGUGGGUAGGGGAAUCUCGCAUUUCACUGGGCCAGCAUCAGUUUUGGUGGCAGGAUAAAUCCAUAGGAAUGUAGCUUGCCUCGGUAAGUAUUAUAGCCUGUGGGAAUACUGCCAGCUGGGACUGAGGACUGCGAC
This 502-nucleotide ribosomal RNA is filed under the name Saccharomyces cerevisiae (brewer's yeast). Its description in RNAcentral is "partial 26S ribosomal RNA". It matches the Rfam family "Eukaryotic large subunit ribosomal RNA", at positions 95 to 600 of the family's 3401-position model. The record is from RNAcentral. Lineage: Eukaryota; Fungi; Ascomycota; Saccharomycetes; Saccharomycetales; Saccharomycetaceae.